RNAcentral lists this ribosomal RNA (439 nucleotides) under uncultured bacterium. RNAcentral's name for it is "partial 16S ribosomal RNA". It matches the Rfam family "Bacterial small subunit ribosomal RNA", at positions 339 to 795 of the family's 1533-position model. The record is from RNAcentral.
CUACGGGUCGCUGCAGUGAGGAAUAUUGCACAAUGGAGGAAACUCUGAUGCAGCAACGCCGCGUGGAGGAUGACGCAUUUCGGUGUGUAAACUCCUUUUAUAUGUCAAGAAAAUGACGGUAGCAUAUGAAUAAGCUCCGGCUAACUCCGUGCCAGCAGCCGCGGUAAUACGGAGGGAGCAAGCGUUACUCGGAAUCACUGGGCGGAAAGGACGCGUAGGCGGGAUAGAAAGUCAGGUGUGAAAUCCUAUGGCUCAACCAUAGAACUGCACUUGAAACUUCUAACCUAGAGUAUGGGAGGGGAAGAUGGAAUUAGUGGUGUAGGGGUAAAAUCCGUAGAUAUCACUAGGAAUACCAAAAGCGAAGGCGAUCUUCUGGAACAAUACUGACGCUAAGGCGUGAAAGCGUGGGGAGCAAACAGGAUUAGAUACCCCUGUAGUC